RNAcentral lists this small RNA (426 nucleotides) under Bos taurus (domestic cattle). RNAcentral describes it as "partial MER1 repeat-containing imprinted transcript 1 B". Lineage: Eukaryota; Metazoa; Chordata; Mammalia; Artiodactyla; Bovidae. The record is from RNAcentral.
UCACCCGGGCACGCAGGAGACGAGCUUCCACUAGCUUUUGCUGGAAGAUGUUGACAUGCUGCAGCCCCAGAUUCCAGACUCCAAAUAAAUCUUCAGUUGCCUGAUAAUCGUCUCCCCGCCAGCUUCUUCCCACCAAGUGCUGUUCCACGGGGUCAGCUGAAAUGCAGAUUCUCCAGGAAGGAUGAUGGGCGAUCAGUGGGGAUCUUUCUGACCCAGGGGAUCAAACCCAAGUCUUUUGCAUUGGCAGGCGGGUUCUUUACCACUGAGCCACCUGGGAACCCUUAGCCACUGGACCUCCAGGAUGGAAAUUCUGUGAUAAUCACUUCAUGGUGUUUGUGAGUCAGAUCGUGACUCUGUAUGCCUUACACCUACAUGCUGGAUGUCAGAGAGAUAUCAGUGAAACUGGAAGGAAAAAAAUAAAGAAAA